AUUGAACGCUGGCGGCACGCUUAACACAUGCAAGUCGAGCGGAAACGAUGGGAGCUUGCUCCCAGGCGUCGAGCGGCGGACGGGUGAGUAAUGCGUAGGAAUCUGCCUUAAAGUGGGGGAUAACCCGAGGAAACUCGGGCUAAUACCGCAUAAUACCUACGGGUCAAAGGGGGCCUCUGUUUCAAGCUCUCGCUUUAAGAUGAGCCUACGUCCGAUUAGCUUGUUGGUGGGGUAAUGGCCCACCAAGGCGACGAUCGGUAGCUGGUCUGAGAGGAUGAUCAGCCACACUGGGACUGAGACACGGCCCAGACUCCUACGGGAGGCAGCAGUGGGGAAUAUUGGACAAUGGGGGAAACCCUGAUCCAGCGAUGCCGCGUGUGUGAAGAAGGCUUGCGGGUUGUAAAGCACUUUCAGUGGGGAGGAUGGUAUUAUUUGCUAAUAUCAAAUAGUAUUGACGUUACCCAUAGAAGAAGCACCGGCUAACUCCGUGCCAGCCGCCGCCGUAACAC
This 509-nucleotide ribosomal RNA is filed under the name uncultured bacterium. Its description in RNAcentral is "bacterial SSU rRNA". It matches the Rfam family "Bacterial small subunit ribosomal RNA", at positions 30 to 526 of the family's 1533-position model. The record is from RNAcentral.